Molecule: non-coding RNA, 134 nt
Organism: Triticum urartu
Lineage: Eukaryota; Viridiplantae; Streptophyta; Magnoliopsida; Poales; Poaceae
Source: Rfam
GAGUUACUCUCUCCGUCCGGAAAUACUUGUCAGCAAAAUGGACAAAAAAAAUGUAUCUAGAACUAAAAUACAUCUAGAUACAUUCCCUUUUAUUCAUUUUGAUAACAAGUAUUUCCGGACGAAGGGAGUACUUU